RNAcentral lists this ribosomal RNA (287 nucleotides) under uncultured bacterium. RNAcentral's name for it is "partial 16S ribosomal RNA". It matches the Rfam family "Bacterial small subunit ribosomal RNA", at positions 775 to 1067 of the family's 1533-position model. The record is from RNAcentral.
GGAUUAGAUACCCUGGUAGUCCACGCCGUAAACGAUGAUCACUCGAUGUCAGCGAUAUACUGUUGGUGUCUUAGCGAAAGUUUUAAGUGAUCCACCUGGGGAGUACGUUCGCAAGAAUGAAACUCAAAGGAAUUGACGGGGGCCCGCACAAGCGGUGGAGCAUGUGGUUUAAUUCGAUGAUACGCGAGGAACCUUACCUGGGCUUAAAUGUAGAGUGCUUUAGAUGGAAACAUCUUUUUCUUCGGACGCUCUACAAGGUGCUGCAUGGCUGUCGUCAGCUCGUGCCG